Molecule: ribosomal RNA, 425 nt
Filed under: uncultured bacterium
Lineage: Bacteria
Description: bacterial SSU rRNA
Rfam family: Bacterial small subunit ribosomal RNA
Source: RNAcentral
GUAAGGAAUAUUGGACAAUGGGGGAAACCCUGAUCCAGCCAUGCCGCGUGAGUGAAGAAGGCCUUCGGGUUGUAAAGCUCUUUCAGAUGUGAAGAUGAUGACGGUAACAUCAGAAGAAGCUCCGGCUAACUUCGUGCCAGCAGCCGCGGUAAUACGAAGGGAGCGAGCGUUGUUCGGAAUCACUGGGCGUAAAGAGUGCGUAGGCGGUUAUACAAGUCAGGAGUGAAAUCCCAGGGCUCAACCCUGGAAUUGCUUUUGAAACUGUAUAGCUAGAGUCCCGGAGGGGUUAAUGGAAUUCCGAGUGUAGAGGUGAAAUUCGCAGAUAUUCGGAGGAACACCAGUGGCGAAGGCGAUUAACUGGACGGGCACUGACGCUGAGGCACGAAAGCGUGGGGAUCAAACAGGAUUAGAUACCCUUGUAGUCC